AACGAACGCUGGCGGCAUGCCUAACACAUGCAAGUCGAACGAGACCUUCGGGUCUAGUGGCGCACGGGUGCGUAACGCGUGGGAAUCUGCCCUGGGGUGCGGAAUAACUCGGAGAAAUCCGUGCUAAUACCGCAUAAUGUCUUCGGACCAAAGAUUUAUCGCCCUGGGAUGAGCCCGCGUAGGAUUAGCUAGUUGGUGGGGUAAAGGCCUACCAAGGCGACGAUCCUUAGCUGGUCUGAGAGGAUGAUCAGCCACACUGGGACUGAGACACGGCCCAGACUCCUACGGGAGGCAGCAGUGGGGAAUAUUGGACAAUGGGCGAAAGCCUGAUCCAGCAAUGCCGCGUGAGUGAUGAAGGCCCUAGGGUUGUAAAGCUCUUUUACCCGGGAUGAUAAUGACAGUACCGGGCGAAUAAGCUCCGGCUAACUCCGUGCCAGCAGCCGCGGUAAU
RNAcentral lists this ribosomal RNA (450 nucleotides) under uncultured bacterium. Its description in RNAcentral is "bacterial SSU rRNA". It matches the Rfam family "Bacterial small subunit ribosomal RNA", at positions 29 to 524 of the family's 1533-position model. The record is from RNAcentral.